Caenorhabditis elegans is the source of this 21-nucleotide non-coding RNA. NCBI's taxonomy places the organism in Eukaryota, Metazoa, Nematoda, Chromadorea, Rhabditida, Rhabditidae. The record is from Ensembl.
UAAGAACCCGUUAACAAGAUC